UACGUAGGCAGCAAGCGUUGUUCGGAGUUACUGGGCGUAAAGGGUGCGUAGGCGGCUUCUUUAGUCUGGUGUGAAAUCUCCCGGCUCAACUGGGAGGGUGCGCCGGAUACUGAGGGGCUAGAGUGUGGGAGAGGAAAGUGGAAUUCCUGGUGUAGCGGUGAAAUGCGUAGAUAUCAGGAGGAACACCGGUGGUGUAAACGGCUUUCUGGACCAUAACUGACGCUGAGGCACGAAAGCGUGGGUAGCAAACAGG
Molecule: ribosomal RNA, 253 nt
Filed under: uncultured bacterium
Lineage: Bacteria
Description: partial 16S ribosomal RNA
Rfam family: Bacterial small subunit ribosomal RNA
Source: RNAcentral